CCUUCCAACCGAGGCUGAGGUAUAGAGCACAACAGAUGCCUCCUACUCUCGAGGCUGAACUUAAAUAACAUUGAUCGAAGAGAGUAUUAGUUUGAGGUUGAGGCUAACUUUAUCAAACUAUUUUCUGUUGACACGUAUCAAGAAUCGGCUUUCUAAGGUGAACCAUCUUCAAAUCUAGACCAUUGAAUCAUCGGAUCUGCAGCAGCCAUGUUCUGACCAAUCACGAGUAGCCACUUGGCACACAUCAGUAGAGAGAGAUAAUUCGCCAG
RNAcentral lists this long non-coding RNA (269 nucleotides) under Elaeis guineensis (African oil palm). RNAcentral describes it as "long non-coding RNA (EGUI_LNC021582)". The record is from RNAcentral. Lineage: Eukaryota; Viridiplantae; Streptophyta; Magnoliopsida; Arecales; Arecaceae.